Molecule: non-coding RNA, 30 nt
Filed under: Rattus norvegicus (Norway rat)
Lineage: Eukaryota; Metazoa; Chordata; Mammalia; Rodentia; Muridae
Source: RNAcentral
UACCAAUGUUUGAAGGAAUUUGUUUGGAUU